AUCCAGCUGACGAGUCCCGAAUAGGACGAAACGCGCGUCCUCGAU
RNAcentral lists this non-coding RNA (45 nucleotides) under Schistosoma mansoni. The record is from RNAcentral. Lineage: Eukaryota; Metazoa; Platyhelminthes; Trematoda; Strigeidida; Schistosomatidae.